GGGGAAUUUUCCGCAAUGGGCGAAAGCCUGACGGAGCAAUACCGCGUGAGGGAGGAAGGCUCUUGGGUUGUAAACCUCUUUUCUCAGGGAAUAAGAACUGAAGGUACCUGAGGAAUCAGCAUCGGCUAACUCCGUGCCAGCAGCCGCGGUAAUACGGAGGAUGCAAGCGUUAUCCGGAAUGAUUGGGCGUAAAGCGUCCGCAGGUGGUUUAUCAAGUCUGCUGUCAAAGAGUUUGGCUCAACCAAAUAAAGGCAGUGGAAACUGACAGACUGGAGUGCGGUAAGGGCAGAGGGAAUUCCUGGUGUAGCGGUGAAAUGCGUAGAGAUCAGGAAGAACACCGGUGGCGAAAGCGCUCUGCUGGGCCGACACUGACACUGAGGGACGAAAGCUAGGGGAGCGAAUGGGAUUAGAUACCCCAGUAGUC
Molecule: ribosomal RNA, 424 nt
Filed under: uncultured cyanobacterium
Lineage: Bacteria; Bacillati; Cyanobacteriota
Description: bacterial SSU rRNA
Rfam family: Bacterial small subunit ribosomal RNA
Source: RNAcentral